This 6786-nucleotide long non-coding RNA is filed under the name Brassica rapa (field mustard). RNAcentral describes it as "long non-coding RNA (BRAP_LNC000819)". The record is from RNAcentral. Lineage: Eukaryota; Viridiplantae; Streptophyta; Magnoliopsida; Brassicales; Brassicaceae.
UAUAAUAUAAAUCCUCCAUUCGUUUGAAAAAUUAUGUUUCAGAGCGUUCACACAUAUUAAAAAAUAUUUAAAUUUUAAUUAUAAAUGUAUUAUUUUUAAUGAUUAACUAUUUACCACAAUUUUUAGUCAAAACAUGUAUCAUUUUAAAAAGGAGAGAGUACAUCAAUAGUAUAAUUUCUAUUUUCCUUGUUAGCGGUUUGGCUCUAAACCAUAGUUCUGUAUAUAAAAUAGGUACAAGGAAGUGGGUCAUUGGUGACUGAAGAACAACCUCAGGCGAUGGUAAUACCAAUGGAAUACUUUUUGAUGGGAUAUGGCUUGUAUCGUCCUACACAGAGCAUAAGCCCAAGAAGUCCUUUGAGUCCAACCAGAAUCUCCCCUGAGCUUCUCUCACCUGAAAACAUGGGGUUGAAGCUCAAGCCGAUUAAGACAAGACUCUCCCUAUGACGACGCUGCCUUCUCUGCUACGGAAAAUAUUACAACAUUAUAUACCUGAUGAUACACUACGUGAAUCGCCAUUAUUAUUUUGGAGUUUGAGCUGCUCUUGUGUUAUGAUUAAAGCUGUAGAUAUAGACAGAGAUAUUGAUCAUCUAUAUAUAGAGAGAGCUAAGAGUUAAAAGAGGAAUAAGGUAAGGGAUUGAUAUAUAGUAGAGAGAAUACAGGUGUUUAUGUUUUUGAGUUCUUUAUAGUAGUUGUCUUCAGUGAGUUAUGUCUGUACAUUCGGUUGAAUAAUUAUUUAAGGAAAAAUCAUCAUAAUAUUUUAUGUCAAUUCCCAGUAACGGUGUUACUUUUCAUGUUUUAAUUGUUUUUUUUUUGUGUUUGCCUAUUGUGCUUACAUAUUAUACUAGGGAAGACUCUUUGCAGCUCAAUAUUCAGAAUUCAGAAAGAUUAAAGCAAGUUUUGAAAUUUUCAGAAUAACAAACUGAGAGAUAUGAAUAUUGAUUAAAUAUUUUCAUUACAGAUUACAAUGAAGGGACAGAAAAAAACAAUACUAAUUACAGGUGAAACAUAUGGUGAAAAAGGGCAGAGGUUAGUGGGUUCCAGGAAGCAAACAAUGUUAGGGUCAUUAUAUCAUUUGCUAAAAUGGUAUCCUGAAUGUAAAGAUUAAGAAAUGUGGUUGGUGGGUUAAUCAUUAAAAUAUUUCCAUGAAAAACAUAGGAUGAAAAAUAAUUCUAUAUAAAUACAAAAGCUGGUGAUAAAACGCCAAGAAUGUAAUGGUACUAAUAUGUGAUCGUUACUCAACAAAGGAUACUAAGUAGGUACGUUUAUUCGGUACCUAUUGCGCUGUUCCUUUUGGAUUCAUCUCCCUGUUGAUCUCUAGAUAUUAAAUUAAACAAACUCAAAUGCGACUGAGUUGUUGCUUGCAAUCAAUCAUACAAUGUGAAACACAUAUAUGUAAAAUGUCACAAGCGUACAACACACUAUGAUUUAGAAUAUUCCAUCGACUUUUCAUUACUUAUACAACCAUCGAAGUUGAUACAUGAUAAAUCAAUGAACGUUAACCAUCAGUCACAGUUGAUCAAUCAGUCAACAUGAAGCUGGUUUAAGAGAUACUGCUUCUUUCUUCUUCUUUUUUUGAACAACCUGCUCUUUCUUCUGUUGUAGAAAAUAAAUUUUAUUUUAUUACAUGUUUAAGAAGCUGAUAUCAAUAAUGUCUUUGUUUGUUUAUAUUUUUUUAUCAAUUUAAUUAUGAUGCUCAGAAUGGAGCAUAUAAUAAAUGUUACUUUUAAAAAUAAAAAGAAAUUUGAAAGUUUUGGCCGGAUUUAUAAUUAAGCAAAAGGGACUUAUGGUUUUACGCUCUUGUUGGGUGCCAAUGACACAUACCAACUCGACAAGAAAACGACAUGUGUGUUCUCACCCUCCAAUGCGAUGGGCCUUGUUUAUUGCGUAGAAAACUACACGGUGUUCAUGUUUUAAAAGGGGAGAAGACUAAGCAUAAAAGGAAAGACGACAAAAAUAAGUUGAAAUCCAACGGCUGAAGAUUCAUCAUCCUGUCUCGUAAAGUCAACAAUAUGAAAAAAAAAAAAAACAAUAUGCGGACUUUUUUCUAAAAACAUGAUUCUUUACUUUGGCCCCUGUACUAUAUAUGCAUCACUGUUAUCCUAACCCUCUAUUAUAGUACCAAAAAUUUACUUCAUGGGGUUUGAUUCGAAGGGAGAAAAAUGAGUAUUCUAAAUUACUUUCUUCUUUAUUUCUAUUUUUGAGCAUAUUAUUUCAUAGGGAUUGAUAUAAAAUAGCAUUAAAUAAAAAAAAUGAAGUAGCGUUUAAUUUUCUUAAAAUGCUUGUAUAAAAUGAAAACAGAAAAGAAAAUUACAAAUAGUGGAAAACGAGGGUGCCGACACGUUUUGGGUUUAUAAAUUGAAGUAGAAAAGUCGUAGUAUCAAUUGCAAUGAUUAAGAAAAUAUAGGGUGAGAAUGUAAUGUUUAGAAGGAGAAAGAAUGAUAAAACUGUCGGUCCCUUAACCAAGGGUUAGGCUGAUCAGGGUAUAUAGUUAGUCCCUGUGAUUAUGGUUUUGCAGGUCCUACAUUAAACCCGAGUCGACCGUCGGUGACUCAGUAACGAGUUUCCCUAUAUAUAUUUUUCUGAAGUAACAAGAAGUCUUCUAUUUGUAAACAAGAAAAAAAACGAAGAUAAGACAUUUUUGUGAGAGAGAAGAGGGAAGGCCAUGGAAAGAAGAUAAUAACUCUCUGCUUAUAUUGAAAUAUACAGAGGAGAAAGAGAGAGAUGGGAGAUUCAAGCGGUUCUGUCUCCAUUGAUAUGGAGGCAUUGUCUCCUAGACGACAGGUAAAUUAUCUUUACGAUUAUCUUUGUUUAAAGAGCUUAUUGGAUAUGUUUAAUACUUUAAUAUGUUCUGCAUUCUUCGAGCAGCUGCUUUAUUCCUCAAAAAACAUUACUCAUUUAUGUGGAUUUUAGUUUUAGAUUAUGCUAAGUGGUUUUUAGCAAUUUCUUGAAUCGUUUUGUGAUAAAACAAUGCUAGAAAAUAUUUCAUGUUGCUUCAUUACUAUGUUUGGAGCUGAAACUGGAAUGAUCAAUGAUGCUUUUGUUGUGUCGGUAAUAAUAUCCAAAACUACGAAAUGUGUUGUCUCGAUAAUCUGAUUCCACGUUUCUGCUUUACGUUUGAUUUUUAUUUUUAUUUUUUUGUUUGAUUUCUACGUUGUAUUUUCUUAGUGUCUUCCUCGAUUCAUACGCACUUUCAUUUUGGAACGUGUGAGUGAAUUUGUUGAUAUGAUUCUUGUUUCUAAUAGGAGAUUCCAAGUAUAUAUACAACUCUUCUAGGAUCAUUUUCCACGUUCCUUUCCUCAUUGUUUCUAAUAUUUCUUAAGGAUUUAUUUAUUUAUUAUCAUUGCGAAAUUCCAUAAUGAAGUUUUUGUUCUUCUAUUGGUAGUUCAGAUUUUUAAUAAUCUCUUUUGUUUGACCAAUCCGUAUUUGCUGGUUAUGAGUAUACGAUUUUAAUGGGAAACUUUGCUACUCUUAUUUUACUUACUUCCUAAACAAGUAAUAUUACUCACAAUGGAAAUGAAGGCUAUAGAACACAUUAUUUAAUUUAUGAUGUACUAAAGAAAUGUAGAGAGAGAAACAAAGGCGAAAAAGAGGCGAAAAAGUAGAUCUAGAUCUUCCCUCUCCGGUGUCCGGCGAGUUUUGCUGGCGCCGUGAGAGGGUGGGUUAUUGUCCUAAGUUCUGUUUUAUGAGGUUUGGUCGAGGUGUUGUGGUGGGUAAAGAGGGAUCCACCAAGAAGUUUGUGAUAUUCUGGUGAGUUUAUGUUUGGUUUGGGUUGUUUGUCGGUUCCUAUCUGGUUUCUGGUACGCGGUGGUUGUAUUCAGCCGGUUCAGAUGUGGGUGCUUAAGCUUUCUUGGAUCUGGUCAGACAACCUUCCAAACGAGGCAUCAGAUGUCAGAGAUCUUCUGGUCAUCUUCCUGUCAGCUUCUUUUCUUCUGGCUCUAUUUCCGGCGACCUGACUCCCGUGUUUCGGGCUUCGUCUCUGGCUUACAGUGGCUAUCUUAGCACUAUAAGGCUGGCUUUUGGCUCUGACGGUGUCCCUUUCUGUCCGGGAAUCGUUGGCCUUUGUCUCGGAUCAAUCGUUUGAAUAUGAAUCAUGUUUCAGAUUGGAAGUUUGCGUGAAGUGAAGUUGGAAACUUUGGUUUGGUCUGUUGAAUACAUUAGCGGCAGGUCCUCCUAUAUGGUUGCUUAAUUGCUUUGUGAAUGAGGAAGUCCAAUCCUCUGUUUAAUGGCUAUGAGUAGUCUUUGGAAUUCUUUUUUGGUAUAGGUAUGGCGACGGAAAGUGUAUUAGUCGUAGACUCAUAAUCAGGGGUUGGUUUGAUGAUUGUGGGGGGUUUUUGUGGCCUGGGGGUGUUAGCCUUGUAAUGGUUUGGAAACAAUGUUUAAAGUUCAAUAUAAUCUAACAGAUGACUUAAAAAAAAAGGAAAUGAAGGCUAUAAGUGUGGUCUUCAUCUAUGCAUGUUCUUACCUUUUCAUUUAUUUCGUACCCUUUCUUGGGUUGAUAGGAGCACCUUGUGGAGACUACCUAUGGCCCCGUAUGUGUUGCCGUUUGUGGAGAUCCAGAUAAACCUGCUCUUAUUACAUAUCCUGAUCUAGCUCUUAAUUGUAAGUCAGAUACUUCUUCAUCUCUACUUAUCAAAUAAGCCUUAACUUCAGUUGUACACUAUUCAAAAUAAAACUUUUGAAUUGAUGCUUGUUUUUAAUAUUUUGUUUUGUCAUGUUGCAGAUAUGUUCUGUUUUCAAGGAUUAUUGUUUUGUCCAGAAGCUAGUUCCUUGUUACUCCACAACUUCUGCAUAUAUCACAUAAGUCCUCUAGGCCAUGAGGUUGGUAACUCAAGUCUCAUCUUUUUUUACAAACUUUUUUUUUUAUUUUUCUGCUAUUUUACUGUUUUAACUGCUAUUCCAUUUCCUUGAUAAUACAAUUCAUGCUCCUUAUUACAUCUAUUUUUCAAGAGUUAUUGCAGUUGGGAGCUCCAGUGAUCAGUGUUGAUGCUCCUUUGCUCUCAGCUGAUGACUUAGCUGACCAGAUUAUUGAGGUUCUUAACUAUUUUGGGUAAGAUUUCACCUCCUGCAUAAGUUUUAUCUGAUCAUUGUUUCAUUAAGCUGCAUAUAUUCUUUUUAUAUCCUUAUCUUGUUUUUUUUUUCUUCGUUUUGUUCUAAAUUCUUUUAACUUUAUUUCUUAUUGGCUCUUAUCCAGACUUGGUGCAGUAAUGUGUAUGGGUGUCACAGCAGGAGCUUACAUUCUGACCUUAUUUGCUGUAAGUAUUUUUUACCUACAGUAACAAUACCUCUCUUACAUAUUAUUCUAUUUGAUAUCAUACUUAACUUUUCCUUGAAACUUAAAUUCUUCUAGAUGAAGUACAGGCAGAGAGUUCUGGGAUUAAUACUCGUCUCUCCACUGUGCCAAGCGCCUUCUUGGUCAGAAUGGUUGUGCAACAAGGUUUGUUUCUUCCCAAAAUGAUAACUUCGUUGGUUCUCACUUGUGGCUAUGACCUUGGUUAUCAAACAUUUCCAUAAUUUUAUGCAGGUUAUGUCUAAUUUACUUUACUACUAUGGCAUGUGUGGAGUGGUUAAGGAAUUGUUACUCAAACGGUACUUCAGCAAGGUAUAGUCUCAGUUCUCUCAUUCACCACUUAACAAAUAUGGUUCUGGUUUUAAAAAGUUUCUUAUAAAUAGCGUUUUGCAUAAGACAGUUGAUAAUGUUUGACAUAUGAUAGGAAGUUCGUGGUAAUGCUCAAGUUCCAGAAUCAGAUAUUGUUCAAGAAUGCAGAAGAGUUAGUAAUACCUUCCUUCUUUUUUUUUUUUUUUUUUUUUUGCAAUUCUCUGAUAACAUUUUUUCGAAGUAAAAAUUUAUAUGUUGUGUUCUCUACUACCCAGUUACUUUGCGAGCGGCAGAGUACAAAUGUAUGGAGAUUCCUUGAGGCAAUCAACGGGUAACUAUAGUUGAUCUCUGUUGUUUUUCAUUGUUAAGCUGAAAGUCUUAUCUUAUUGUAUAUUCUGGUUUGGUGUGAAUACAGGAGAGUGGAUCUUAGUGAAGGGUUAAGGAAACUGCAAUGCAGAACUUUAAUAUUCAUUGGUGAAAGUUCUGGUUACCACUCAGAGGCCGUUCACAUGACCACCAAACUAGACAGACGAUACGGCGCAUUAGUCGAGGUAUAAUAUAAAUCCUCCAUUCGUUUGAAAAAUUAUGUUUCAGAGCGUUCACACAUAUUAAAAAAUAUUUAAAUUUUAAUUAUAAAUGUAUUAUUUUUAAUGAUUAACUAUUUACCACAAUUUUUAGUCAAAACAUGUAUCAUUUUAAAAAGGAGAGAGUACAUCAAUAGUAUAAUUUCUAUUUUCCUUGUUAGCGGUUUGGCUCUAAACCAUAGUUCUGUAUAUAAAAUAGGUACAAGGAAGUGGGUCAUUGGUGACUGAAGAACAACCUCAGGCGAUGGUAAUACCAAUGGAAUACUUUUUGAUGGGAUAUGGCUUGUAUCGUCCUACACAGAGCAUAAGCCCAAGAAGUCCUUUGAGUCCAACCAGAAUCUCCCCUGAGCUUCUCUCACCUGAAAACAUGGGGUUGAAGCUCAAGCCGAUUAAGACAAGACUCUCCCUAUGACGACGCUGCCUUCUCUGCUACGGAAAAUAUUACAACAUUAUAUACCUGAUGAUACACUACGUGAAUCGCCAUUAUUAUUUUGGAGUUUGAGCUGCUCUUGUGUUAUGAUUAAAGCUGUAGAUAUAGACAGAGAUAUUGAUCAUCUAUAUAUAGAGAGAGCUAAGAGUUAAAAGAGGAAUAAGGUAAGGGAUUGA